GCAGGUGUGGCUCAGCUGGUAGAGCACCCCCUUGGUAAGGGGGAGGUCGCGGGUUCAAGUCCCGCCACUUGCACCA
RNAcentral lists this transfer RNA (76 nucleotides) under Gammaproteobacteria bacterium. Its description in RNAcentral is "tRNA-Thr". It matches the Rfam family "tRNA". From Rfam's summary of the family: Transfer RNA (tRNA) molecules are approximately 80 nucleotides in length. Their secondary structure includes four short double-helical elements and three loops (D, anti-codon, and T loops). The record is from RNAcentral. Lineage: Bacteria; Pseudomonadati; Pseudomonadota; Gammaproteobacteria.